AUUGCAAUCUAACCACUUAUAUUUGCCAUUUUAUAUUUAUACUUUUUCGAUGUGAGAUUUAUAAUUUUAACACUCCCCCCUCAAGUUCAACCAUAUAGUUGUCACGUGACAGUUAGUUUGUAUUUUUUAACCAAAUAUGAGCCAAAUUAUACAGCCUUAUGGGUGGCUGAAACCCAUAACUCACUUUGGGCUCUGAUACCAUGUUAAAUUUG
RNAcentral lists this unclassified non-coding RNA (212 nucleotides) under Hevea brasiliensis (rubber tree). The record is from RNAcentral. Lineage: Eukaryota; Viridiplantae; Streptophyta; Magnoliopsida; Malpighiales; Euphorbiaceae.